Non-coding RNA from Zonotrichia albicollis (white-throated sparrow), 274 nucleotides. Lineage: Eukaryota; Metazoa; Chordata; Aves; Passeriformes; Passerellidae. The record is from RefSeq and is a predicted model, not a curated record.
GCCGUGUGGAACUUCCCGCGCACCAAGGAGCAUCACCUGCCGCUGCAGAUCGGGGAGAUGGUGCACAUCCUGCAGGCCUCCGAGGGCUGGUACUGCGGGUACUCGCUCCGGAACAGGGCUGCCCGGGGCAUCUUCCCCGCCUCGCUGAUCCGGCUGAAGGGCACCACGGUGGAGCAGAGGGGGCUGGAGGAGAGCUCGGUGCCCUCCGACAUGCCCAUGGUGCAGGAGAUCACCACCACGCUGCGCGAGUGGGCCACCAUCUGGAAGCAGCUCU